GAUUAGUUUGAUCCUGGCUCAGGACGAACGCUGGCGGCGUGCCUAAUACAUGCAAGUCGAGCGGACAGAUGGGAGCUUGCUCCCUGAUGUUAGCGGCGGACGGGUGAGUAACACGUGGGUAACCUGCCUGUAAGACUGGGAUAACUCCGGGAAACCGGGGCUAAUACCGGAUGGUUGUUUGAACCGCAUGGUUCAAACAUAAAAGGUGGCUUCGGCUACCACUUACAGAUGGACCCGCGGCGCAUUAGCUAGUUGGUGAGGUAAUGGCUCACCAAGGCGACGAUGCGUAGCCGACCUGAGAGGGUGAUCGGCCACACUGGGACUGAGACACGGCCCAGACUCCUACGGGAGGCAGCAGUAGGGAAUCUUCCGCAAUGGACGAAAGUCUGACGGAGCAACGCCGCGUGAGUGAUGAAGGUUUUCGGAUCGUAAAGCUCUGUUGUUAGGGAAGAACAAGUACCGUUCGAAUAGGGCGGUACCUUGACGGUACCUAACCAGAAAGCCACGGCUAACUACGUGCCAGCAGCCGCGGUAAUACGUAGGUGGCAAGCGUUGUCCGGAAUUAUUGGGCGUAAAGGGCUCGCAGGCGGUUUCUUAAGUCUGAUGUGAAAGCCCCCGGCUCAACCGGGGAGGGUCAUUGGAAACUGGGGAACUUGAGUGCAGAAGAGGAGAGUGGAAUUCCACGUGUAGCGGUGAAAUGCGUAGAGAUGUGGAGGAACACCAGUGGCGAAGGCGACUCUCUGGUCUGUAACUGACGCUGAGGAGCGAAAGCGUGGGGAGCGAACAGGAUUAGAUACCCUGGUAGUCCACGCCGUAAACGAUGAGUGCUAAGUGUUAGGGGGUUUCCGCCCCUUAGUGCUGCAGCUAACGCAUUAAGCACUCCGCCUGGGGAGUACGGUCGCAAGACUGAAACUCAAAGGAAUUGACGGGGGC
Molecule: ribosomal RNA, 933 nt
Filed under: Bacillus subtilis
Lineage: Bacteria; Bacillati; Bacillota; Bacilli; Caryophanales; Bacillaceae
Description: bacterial SSU rRNA
Rfam family: Bacterial small subunit ribosomal RNA
Source: RNAcentral